AACUCUGCAAUAAGCGAAAGCUUGACAGGGUUAUUCUGAGUGAUUUCCGCUAAGGAAAUCUUUUGGCACCUCUAAAAAUGGUGCAGAAUAAGGGGUGGGCAAGCCUGGUGUCAGCCGCCGCGGUAAUACCAGCACCCCGAGUGGUCGGGACGAUUAUUGGGCCUAAAGCAUCCGUAGCCGGUUCUACAAGUCUUCCGUUAAAUCCACCUGCUUAACAGAUGGGCUGCGGAGGAUACUAUAGAGCUAGGAGGCGGGAGAGGCAAGCGGUACUUAGUGGGUAGGGGUAAAAUCCGUUGAUCCAUUGAAGACCACCAGUGGCGAAGGCGGCUUGCCAGAACGCACUCGACGGUGAGGGAUGAAAGCUGGGGGAGCAAACCGGAUUAGAUACCCGGGUAGUCCCAGCUGUAAACGAUGCAGACUCGGUGAUGGACUAGCUUCAUGCUAGUCCAGUGCCGCAGGGAAGCCGUUAAGUCUGCCGCCUGGGUAGUACGGUCGCAAGACUGAAACUUAA
This 511-nucleotide ribosomal RNA is filed under the name uncultured archaeon. RNAcentral's name for it is "bacterial SSU rRNA". It matches the Rfam family "Archaeal small subunit ribosomal RNA", at positions 346 to 859 of the family's 1478-position model. The record is from RNAcentral.